AGCGAACGCUGGCGGCAGGCCUAACACAUGCAAGUCGAACGGAUCCUUCGGGAUUAGUGGCGGACGGGUGAGUAACACGUGGGAACGUGCCCUUUGGUUCGGAACAACUCAGGGAAACUUGAGCUAAUACCGGAUGUGCCCCUCGGGGAAAAGAUUUAUCGCCAUUGGCGCGGCCCGCGUCUGAUUAGCUAGUUGGUGGGGUAAAGGCCCACCAAGGCGACGAUCAGUAGCUGGUCUGAGAGGAUGAUCAGCCACAUUGGGACUGAGACACGGACCAAACUCCGACGGGAGGCAGCAGUGGGGAAUCUUGCGCAAUGGGCGAAAUCCUGACGCAGCCAUGCCGCGUGAAUGAUGAAGGUCUUAGGAUUGUAAAGUGCUUUCACCGGGGACGAUAAUGACGGUACCCGGAGAAGAAGCCCCGGCUAACUUCGUGCCAGCCGCCGCCGUAA
This 449-nucleotide ribosomal RNA is filed under the name uncultured bacterium. Its description in RNAcentral is "partial 16S ribosomal RNA". It matches the Rfam family "Bacterial small subunit ribosomal RNA", at positions 29 to 523 of the family's 1533-position model. The record is from RNAcentral.